UCCUUGAGCGAAAUGAGUCACUGGCUCAUCCAGUUAAGAUCAUCACCCACUUUCCCAACAAAACUUCUCUUCAAAGAAGGACUCGCUCAUCCAUCAGGUGGACCUCCACAGGAACAAAUCAUAUCCAUGUCAGGCGGCACCAAACCUAAAUCUGCUUCUGCCUCAGCAGACAGGACAUGUGUUCCCAAGAGAACUACACAAACAAUGACUGAAUGAAGAGCAAAUAAUUAUUACAUUAACAAUUGUCUAAGUACUCUAUUUUCUAAUGCAAGACCAUCUUCCACAAGAAGCCCUUCAUUGACCUGCUCAGAUGAACUCAGCUAUGUGACCUGCAAGUUUAUUCUUCCACUUAUUACACUUACUUUAUCACUAUUUGUUCAGUGACUUCCCCAGGAGCAAUUAAAGCAGAAACCAUGCAUGUCUUAUUUGUUCAGUAUUCUGUCCUAAUAUCCUGGCAAGUAUAUGUCAUAGAGCUACUAUUUAUUGAUUCUUAACUAGUAUAAGAGUUAGAUGUCUAAAAUGUGACUCCACCUACAUGACA
Gorilla gorilla gorilla (western lowland gorilla) is the source of this 541-nucleotide long non-coding RNA. RefSeq lists it as uncharacterized. The transcript is spliced from 3 exons. The record is from RefSeq and is a predicted model, not a curated record. Lineage: Eukaryota; Metazoa; Chordata; Mammalia; Primates; Hominidae.